RNAcentral lists this transfer RNA (67 nucleotides) under Candidatus Borkfalkia ceftriaxoniphila. It matches the Rfam family "tRNA". From Rfam's summary of the family: Transfer RNA (tRNA) molecules are approximately 80 nucleotides in length. Their secondary structure includes four short double-helical elements and three loops (D, anti-codon, and T loops). Lineage: Bacteria; Bacillati; Bacillota; Clostridia; Christensenellales; Christensenellaceae. The record is from RNAcentral.
GGGAAUGGCUCAGUGGUAGAGCGCCACCUUGCCAAGGUGGAUGUCGCGGGUUCGAAUCUCGUUUCCC